Heterocephalus glaber (naked mole-rat) is the source of this 1811-nucleotide long non-coding RNA. The record is from Ensembl. NCBI's taxonomy places the organism in Eukaryota, Metazoa, Chordata, Mammalia, Rodentia, Bathyergidae.
GCCGUUCAUGCAGCCUCGCUGUUCAUGCAGCCUCGCUGGCCGAUCUGCAGCCUGGCCCUGGAGGAGUGGGGUGAGGAGAAGGUGCUUCUGGCCUCAGGAUGUAGCCCUUCCCCCUGCAUGGAUGAGCCGCCAGGUUCUCUGCUCCUCUUCCCCUUUCCUGCCUGUACCCACCUCUGCUCACCUAGUAUGUGGCCAGUUACGAGGAUAUGUGCAUUUGCCCAGCUCUCUGUGCCUUCUCUUUUGCUGGGGGAAGGAGGACAGUCAGAUGAGUCCUGCAGUUGUUUUCCGUGAUGAGUCAAGAACCUACUCUGUGGAUGCAGUGAAUUGAAGUCUGUCUUCUCUCUGGGGAACCUCCUUGGGCCCUGUCUGGUGACAGUCUCAUCCAGGCUAGGGCUUUGAAGAACACGUGUUUGCUGAUGAUGCCCAGAUCUGUGCCCGCCCUGACUUUGACGAAAACCUGCACCUAAGUCUUCCCUGUGUCCAUCCGAGUGACACCCAGAGUGAAUGUGUUCAGGAUGUCUUAGCCUCAGGCCUACUCCCCUCCACCCUUACCUUCUCCUGGGCUCCGCCUGUCUAUCUCCUCCACCAGAAUGUCAGCUCCAUGUGGGCUGGGUGGGGUUGUCUAUUUUGUCCACUGCUCUGUCCCUAGUACCUAGAGCCAUGGCUGGCACAGAAGAACCCUCAGAGGGUGGUGGAUGGAUGGAUGGAUGGAUGGAUGAGUGGGUGGGUGAGGACACUGGAAUCUGAAUUGCCAGGCUCACUUGUGCAGGUGAUCAGCAUUGCUCCUGUUCGAAGUCCAAAGCCAGGUGUCCCACACAGAAAGCUCUUGUGUCUGCCCUCUGGCAGGGGUGGUAGGACAUGAGUUGAGAGUGAAAACUAAACCCAGUGUCCCAUGGCAUCCUUUUCCUGAGGGUCUGGCCCGGGUGGAGAUCUCUCCCUUGGUGGCCUUCCAUCCUCCUCACCCACCGCUGGCAGCCAGGGAAGGUCAGGGAGGGCAGGGAUGAAUGCACUGGGAGGGUAGGCAUGGCGGAGGCCAGUCUCCCCCCAGCCCCAUCCUCCAGGACCCGAGUCACAGCUAGCCUCAGGCCACACCCCUGUCAUCAGGGAUGCCCAUCUCACCCUGAUCUUGCCCCUGGCGAAAAGCAGUGUCUUCCUUGAUGGAACAUCUGCGGCACACCUGGGCAGGUGGGAAGUGCGGCAUUCCUAUGGGGCUUGGGAGGACAGUCGGGCAGUGGGGAAGAAGAGAGGGAGAGCAAGGAGAAGAGGUGGAGGCCAAAAAGACAUGGAGAAAGAUAUUCACUCGCUGAGAACAACAGGAUGGGUGUUGGAGACCUGCAGAAAGACCCCAAAGGACAGAGUGGAGAUGUCCAGAGAGAAAAACAUAGACACAGAAAAUGGGGAGGACAGAGACUUGGGCUGCGGGUGGGCUUGUUUAUGGGCACGUCCACCGAGGUCAUGAGAAGUGAGGGUCAGGGAGUGGAUCCUGAACCUACAAUCUGCUUCUGCAUCUGCAAGUGGGCCUGAUAAGACAGCACUUUCUGCUCCAGGUAGCUGAGAGGAUUGCUGAUUGCAGAGGGGAAUGGAUGUGCUGACUCAUGGGGGCUCAGCCCUCCCUCUCCCCAAUGCCUGUGUCUCUCAGCGAGUAGUGAUGGCACAAUUGCUGUGGGGAGGCCCUGGGCACCACAGGCUAGAGGCUGGUCUGCAGGUGGGCACAAGGCUGAGUAUCACCAAGGCUGGCAGCAGCAGUGGGGAAAGGAAAGGUGUCUGGAGACACAGAGCCUGGCACAAAUGGGCACCUAGCAAGUGCUGGA